CCCUUAGAUGUUCUGGGCUGCACGCGCGCUACACUGACGAUGGCAACGAGUUUUUCCUUCGCCGAAAGGUGUGGGUAAUCUUUUGAAACAUCGUCGUGCUGGGGAUAGAUCAUUGCAAUUUUUGAUCUUGAACGAGGAAUUCCUAGUAAGCGCGAGUCAUCAGCUCGCGUUGAUUACGUCCCUGCCCUUUGUACACACCGCCCGUCGCUACUACCGAUUGAAUGGUUUAGUGAGGACUCCUGAUUGGCGCCGCCGCCCCGGCAACGGAGCAGCGGACUGCCGAAAAGUUGUUCAAACUUGAUCAUUUAGAGGAAGUAAAAGUCGUAACA
Molecule: ribosomal RNA, 329 nt
Filed under: uncultured eukaryote
Lineage: Eukaryota
Description: partial 18S ribosomal RNA
Rfam family: Eukaryotic small subunit ribosomal RNA
Source: RNAcentral